Molecule: transfer RNA, 73 nt
Filed under: Bos taurus (domestic cattle)
Lineage: Eukaryota; Metazoa; Chordata; Mammalia; Artiodactyla; Bovidae
Also listed under: 4 other names
Rfam family: tRNA
About the family: Transfer RNA (tRNA) molecules are approximately 80 nucleotides in length.
Source: Rfam by way of RNAcentral
UCCCUGCUGAUCGAGUGGCUAAGACUCUGUGCUCCUAACACAGAGGGCUCAGGUUCCAUUCCUGGUCAGGGAA